This is a long non-coding RNA of Mus musculus (house mouse), 2092 nucleotides long. RefSeq annotates it as predicted gene, 53635. The record is from RefSeq and is a predicted model, not a curated record. The transcript is spliced from 3 exons. Lineage: Eukaryota; Metazoa; Chordata; Mammalia; Rodentia; Muridae.
UUGACUUCACAUAUGUCCGUGUGAAGGUGCCAGACCCCUGCAACUGGAGUUACCUGCACUUGUGAGCUGCCAUGUGGGUGUUGAGAAUUGAACCCAGGUCCUCUGGAAGAGCAGCCAGUGAUCUUAACCACGGAGCCAUCUCUCCAGCCCUGGUGGUCUAUUUCUUUAACUGUGAAAGGAUAAUUGAAAACGCCUAACUUGUGUUUCUGCUGGAGUUUAACAAAGUAAUGCUAACAGAGUCCAUCUAGAGGAAUACUAGAAGAGCCCACUGAAUGUUAGCAGUGACUGUGACUGGAUACAAAAUAUGGGUAAAAGAGCUAACAAAGGAUACUUUAUCCCAAGAGAAACUAAAGUCAAUGCUCACAACUUGAAGAAUGAUUUCAGCUCUCCUCCAGACCACCACGCCAGCAUUUACCCUACAAGCCCUGCAGUGUGAAAUCUAGAUAGCACAGGCCAUGUAAUAGAAUUCUCUGGCCAUUUCCAGCGUGCUCACGGCGAGGAAUCCAGCAGACCAGGUGCUUUCUGAGUGGUGACUGUGGACAGAUGCCAAGGCUGUAGAAGUGUGACUAGCACAGAAUCCUCAAGUUGCUCUGAAGCAGCAGAAAAUCACGUGCAAACUGUCUGUCACCAAGGCAGAGGGUCUCACCUACAAAGAUAGAGCGCGUGUGGUGACGGUAUUGGAGAGCAGCGACUGGAGUGUUUCAGGAGAAUGUUCCCCGAAGAAAAAGCCAAAUGACCUUUGGAGAAAGAAGAAAGGAGACUUAAGCAAUAAGUCCUAGCUACACAUAUUUAAAAUGUUUCUCUUCUGGUAAAUUAACGGCUAGCUUUCAUUACUCCUACAGAGAGCUCAGUGCACUUAAAAAGAUACAUAGGUAUGUAGAAACCCGAAGUGAUUUCUAAUUUUAAAAAUGUUUAUUUGAAAUAUCCCUGGAUCUAAACCACUGCAAAUGUUUAUUGCACGAUUAUCAUGAGCAAGAUACAGGACAUUACAGAGAGCACCAAGAACUCUGAGUCCCAGAGGAGAAUAAAAAUGCCAGCUGUGGAGAUGAGUUGUGGGCUCCUAGAAAAAGAGCCGUUAGGCUGCAAGGCACCUUGUGGAUUAAGAAGCUGACAUCGUUUGACUUAGGUUUCAAAUGAACGGCACAGGGACAUUGGAAUAGAUGACAGAGGAUUCUACAGAGUGAUGGACAGAACGGUACCCCUGAGGUUCAAAGCAACUGUAGCAACUCCGUGUUUCCAACAUGUUCGUUUCUAUGACACACUCUGCUUUUCACGCGGUAAAAUUCGCAAAGAAUUCUCUUUCCAUAUUGGGAAGGCCAGGCUACUUUUAUAUGGUUGCAGUUCGCCCUCCAUUCUGCAAAUGAGCGUAAACACAUAAAAUAUUUAUACAUCCCUCCAAUCUAUAGAGAAAUCACUUUGGGGACUGGAAAACAGACUCUUUACAGACGGGGAGGAUAUGAGGGAAAUGCCCUCAGUGUGCUGGCUCGCAACUGCAAUGUCUGCCCAGCACUGUGCCUUCUGUCAGAACGGGAUGCUCUGCUGAAAGAGCCCUUGUGUGUCAAGAUUCAAAACGGUCUUGUUUGCUCCAGUUGAACAAAGCUCUCACAGACAGUGGGAUCUGCGAGGGCAACCGCCAAGUGUAUUAAGCCAAUGUUCCCUCCGCCACACUGCGGAUAGUUUAUCGUAAUGGCACUUCACACCUUCAUGUAUAGAGGCUGGUGUUCUGGUCUGGCAGCGGAUCCUGCACAGAGCCCCUCUGACUUCAAAGGAAAUGACGUAGAACAGAACCCCCAGGUAUAAGGAGAAGCAAGAGCGCUUGCUCUUCAGAUACUGGACCAUUUUGUCUGUUUGCUCUCAUUCUCUCUGCAGAAAUGGCUAAAUUUAUUUACCAAAUGUCCAAAGGCAACUUUUCAUUUCAACAGCUUAUGAAUCGUCAGAUAUAUGAAUAUUUAUUGGGAAACUGGAAACUGAACUGUUGUAGUCUUUUUUUAAAAAAUGAAAGAGGGAAAGGGGGUUGUAGUAUAAACUCAUCCUAACCCCACAGUUUUCUUGCUCUGUAAGCCACCCAAGAGGCAGAAAUGACUUUAGGCAA